This is a long non-coding RNA of Acinonyx jubatus (cheetah), 12475 nucleotides long. RefSeq lists it as uncharacterized. The transcript is spliced from 2 exons. Lineage: Eukaryota; Metazoa; Chordata; Mammalia; Carnivora; Felidae. The record is from RefSeq and is a predicted model, not a curated record.
CUAAAAUCCUCACCAAAGGAUGAAGCCUCAAAUGAUGCCUUCCAAAAUCCAUCAUAGAGCCUCUGACGGGCUUAGAUCCAAUCUGCUGCCUUGGUUUUCGUUGACCUCUCCUGAUUUCCCACCUUCAUUCCAGAAUGUUUCUUUGUUCCUCUCUGCAUCCUUAUCUGUGGGAGUCCCCGCGUACUGUCCUCAGUCUCUGCUCCUCUCUUCUCUGGCUCCAGGACAGCUGUACCCAUUCAGUGCUCUCACGGCCCAUGCUCACCAGAUGGCUUCCUCCUUUAUCUUAGGCCCUAAGCUCUAGGACAAACUUUGAGUUCUCACAUGCCAGUUUCCUGUUUAGUGUCUGCACUCUGUGUUCUCCGGAUGACUCCAAUGCAUGGUCUGCUUCCCUUCCACUUCCCCUCAUAGUCAAUCAGAUACAAAGUCAUGAAGCGUUUACCUCGAAGAGAUCUCCUGGAGCCAAGUACAUUCGUCUGUCCUUAAUACUGCCGGCAUCAUUGAAGGCCUUUCUUGCCUUGAUUUGGUUUCACCAGGUAAUUUUCUAAUGAGUCUUUCCAUUCGAAUUUGAACCUCUCCUUCUUCAGUACACUCUGUUCAUGACUCUAGGAUAAUUUAUUAGCGUCAUCAUUCAGCAUUACGGAUCAGGGAGAACCCUUGAAUGGACGCCUAGAAACCUGACCACUACCAGCUGGGUAACUGUCAUUUUUUGCCUCCCCACCAAGACCGCACUGUACCAUCUUAAACAGAUGAAAAAUUAAAAAAUCAUAAAAAAUAAAAAUAAGAUAAAGUGUAAAAAAUAGACUAAGUGAUUUCUUCAUCUCUGUCUGGCUGUAUAGUUUUUUUUAAUACCUUUUUUGAGAUACAAAUUAUAUAUAUUUCAGGAAGUCUACCUAUCUCAGGUGUACAGUCCAGUUUUUUUUAGUAUAUUCACAGAAUUGUGCAACCACUAGCAUUUAAUUGUGGAACACUUUGGUCACCCCUAAAAGGGAUCCAUUGGAAGUCACUCCCCCUGUCCCCCAACCUCACCUUCCAGCCCCAGGCAACUAAACUGCUCAUCUACUUUCUGUCCCUACAUAUUUGCCUGUUUGGGACAUUUCUUAUAAAUGAGAUCAAGCAUCAUGUGGCCUUUUGUGUCUCUUUUCACUUAACCUAAUGUUUUCAAGGUUUAGCCACAAUGUAGCAUGUAUCAGUUAUCAGUCCUUCAUUAAAAAAAAUUUUUUUUAAUGAUUAUUUAUUUUUGAGAGAGAAACAGAGCACAAGUAGAGGAGGGGCAGAGAGAAAGGGAGACACAGAAUCUAAAGCAGGCUCCAGGUGCUGAGCUGUCAGCCCAGAGCCCCACAUGGGGCUUGAACUCACAGACAGUGAGAUCAUGACCUGAGAUGAAGUCAGAUGCUUAACUGACUGAGCCACCCAGGCACCCGGAUCAGUCCUUCAUUGUUUAUGGCUAAAUAAUACUCCCUUUAUUGAUAUGCUACAUUUUGUUUAUCCAUUCAUCUGUUGAUAGACAUUUGUAUUUCUACUUUAUGGCUGUUGUGAAAAUGCUGCCAUGAAAGCUUCAAGUUUUAGAUAUUAUUCUUAGCAUGAUACCAAGAGACAGAGCAAUAUUGCAUUUUUCAUUACUCUUCUACAUGUUUUUAUUUGUUUUUGAGAGAGAGACAGAGUGUGAGCAGGGAAGGGGCAGAGAGAGGGGAAGACACAGGAUCCAAAGCAGGCUCCAGGCUCUGAGCUGUCAGCACAGAGCCUGACGCAGGGCUCGAACUCAUGAACCAGGAUAUCAUGACCUGAACUGAGGUUGGACGCUUGACGAUCUGAGGCACCCAGGCGCCCCCAUUUUUCAUUGUUCCUUACAGAUAACCUGUAAAGCCAUUUUCACAUAGAGAUGGGAUACUCUCAAAGGAGAAAUCUACUGACAAUCUAAGGAGGUGUCUCUUGCACACACACACAUACAUACACACACAUACACACAUACACACAACCCCCCCCCCCCAAAAAAAAACCCUUGAAGUUUCUGUUACUGCUUUCAACUGUAGCCAUGUCUAUUAAAAGCCACUUGUAAAUAGCUAACUUCAGCUCUGGCAUGCCAUAGAUUAGGCAUAUUUGUUUUCCAGGGAAGAUUAUAAAUAGAGGGGGGAGGGGGGAGUGAAACAGAAUGUAUUUUGCAAAUGAGCCCAGAUGGAAAACUAACAGAUGGCCAUGCACUGUAUUUUGUGUGUUCAGACCUACAUUUAAAUUAAAAAUUUUCAUAAUUAUGAUUAAUGUCUGUAGCAACACUAGUUUUCCUGUGGUGGCAUCAUAUAUCAUGUAUCGGAGGUAUUGAACAGAACAUUUUCAUGAAAAGGUUUCAGACUUUAUACAAAUUUUGGUACUUGCCUGCCCUACACUUAAGAAGGAAACAAAACAAAACCUCACUCAGCAGUGAUGGAGCGCGCUGAGAAAACUUCAGUACAAGUGGACUUUCUAUAAUAAGCCCGUCUGCCGCCAUCUGGUUUUUCCUCCCAUGUUAAAACUCCAAGCCAGCUAUUCCGUGCAGAGGGGGAAAUAAUGGGCCCUUAUUUGCAUGGAUAUUUUUUUCUAGAUUCUGAUAUGAAGAGUUUUCUCUUGGAUCAUGCCUUUUUUUUUUUUUUUAAUUUCCAUCAGUACAUGCGGUGUAUUUAUUUUCUAAUGGUAGAUGUCUCAUCUUGCAAGCUGUCCAGCCCCCUUUGCUUUCCUCCUUUCCCCAUUUUCCUGAGUGAUUCUGUGUGUUGGCCUUUUCCCAGUCUUAGUAGAGGCGGGCAGUGUUGAGGAGGGUCCCUGGAGUGUUUCUCCAGGUAGAAUCAGGACUUUGGAGCCUGCACAGUGAGAAUGUGAAGCCAAAUCACUCUUUGUAGGACCUUUGGUCAACUGGGUGGACUUUGUGCAGUGCCCUUGACUUCCUUCCAUCAACUCAGGUUCUGGAUGUGUAAAAUGGGGAGAUGUCACUGCUCUUUACAAGAUGUUUUAUAUGCUGUACCUCUUUUUGCUCUUCUAUGGUGCUCUGCUCUGGGACACAUCCAGACUGCCUUCCAUUUUGGCAGCUCCUUAUUCUUUCCUACUUCUCCUCUGACAUACUCUCCCAGCAUCUUGGGUUUUUACCCCCAUCAGUAUAUCACAACUGUGCCCAUUUUUUACUUGCCAUUCUGUCUCAUGGUUGGCGUUUUGCCUUGGGCAGGAUCCUUCCUCCCUGACAUUUUUUUUUCUGAUAUAAGAGAUAUCAUACACAGUUUUGCUCUUUGGCUUUAACACAACACAUUCCUCAAGGUGACUCCUCCUGGGCCCUUUCAUGGCCAGGCUCCCCUGUAGUGGAAAGAUACUGGCAUGGAGCUCCAGCUGGACUAACCAACAAAUGCAUCACCCUCUGGUACCACUGACCACGGUGGGUUUGCAGUUGGAGGGGGUGGCUUUUACUUUACUGAUAUCCUAAAACUGCUGCAUUUCACUCAAGACAGCAAACAGUAAUGGCAGACAUUUUGAGUGUACGUGGUGGUGAGACCCAAAGUUUACUCUUGGGACAACACUUUAUUCAUAUUAGCAACAUCCACUGAGUCUAGAAAGUAGAGCUGAUGAGACUUUUUUCUAGGUCGUUCCGGCUUUUCAAGAUGGUGUGUUUGGUGGGGGGAGUGGGACCGGGUGAGGGAUAAAGCCAAGCUCUGGUAUUCUCGCCCUUAAACUUUUGCUUUCUUGCUUUCUAUUAGAAAUUUUACCUUCCUUUUUAAAAAAAACAGUUUAUUUAUUUUUGGAAAAGAGAGAGAGAGAGCAUGCAUCUAUGCAAGCAGGACAGAGGAUAUGAAGCAAGUUCUGCCCAGAUAGCAAUGAGGCCCCUGUAGGGCUCGAAGUCACAAACCAUGAGAUCAUGACCUGAGCCGAAGUCGGAUGCUCAACCGACUGAGCCACCCAGGCGCCCCUCAAAAUUUUACCUUCCAAAUAUAUUGGAAGAAGAUGCAUGAUGGAGAAGGGAAUGUGGACAAAAUGAACAACCACUUUAGGAUAUUUUACUUACAAUUUAGAAAAGUUAAGUUAGAUUUGUGACAAAAAAUCUCAUUCAUCUCUUUUCAGGCUCUCAUAUAUGAGAGAGAAACUGAAAAGGAUAAAUGAAAGGAAUGAAACAUUAGCAGCCCAUUUUGUAAGUCAAGCCAGAAGCUAUGUUCUAUGAAUACUUUAAAUUAUUAUAUAUGCCCGUGUACUGGAGAACGAACAUAUUUGAUGCCAAAAAAGAAGCCUUGGAAGAGCUGCUGAGCAUUUAGCAACAUCACUAAUUAUUUGUGUAACGUUUGGCAAACAGUCAAAACCAGAAAUUUUUUUCUGGUAAACAUAUUUUUACACAUUUGUCCUCCGUACAAAAAUAACCAGUCGCGAUGCAUAUAUUUUCACUUGCCCAUGUUUGCAUUGCUGAGGCAUAAAGCACUCCUCCCUUAAAAGGUUCCUUUCAAAGUUAUCAGCUAAUUCAUAAGCCCAGAGAACCUGGGGGCCCACAAGCAUAUGCUUUGCAUUGAAACACCAGCUUGGUAAUCAAACGAGGAGCAAUCGAAUAUGAGCUUUCAAGGCAGGUGAAUUUGACUGUAAAUCAUGGUUCUGCACAUAGGUUUGUAUUUUCUACUCUUAAUUACAUCUGUGCAAAUCUCCAUUUGUUUGUAGUUGCCUAAUACACAGACUGGGCUAUUUGCAUUCCCAGAGGCACCUUUCCAUGGUGUGUACUUCUCCAAGGGGGGGAAAAACCCUGCUUCAGCCAUUAAUUUGAAUAUUAAGUGCAAAAAGAGAUAUAGAAGUGAAUGCUCUUCAAUUCAGCAAAUACUAACCGAGCCCUUGCAAAGUGCUGAUAGAGAUACACCGGAAAUUCAAUUCACCUAAACUCAUUAAAGCUCAAUUUCCUCAUCUAUGAAAUGGGAGUAAUAGAAAAAAAAAAAAAGGAGUGUUCAUUUAAAAUGCUGUAUGAGUUAGAAAUAGUAGUAGUGAUAGUAAAUUGCAAUCCAGUGCCUUGUUUCUUUUUUUUUUUUUUUUUUUUUUUUUGGCAGCACCACUUAAUUCCAGGUAUUUUUCUACAAAAGACUUUGUGAAUAUGACAGGAACAAAAACAGAAGGCAGUUGCUUUUACAUCCAGGUUACCUUUUUUUUUUUUUUUUCACUUUUGUCAAUCCCAUUUUCUAAGAAAGGAUUUACAACAGCCAGUGGCGGUCAAAAGUGUGUGUGAUGUACAGGCAGCAUGAAUGUGGGCCAUGCCUUUUUUGGGGGAGAUGCUAUAUGUUCUGCGAUAACAGAAAGAAAACAGGGGACUGCCUACUUCUAGGUUAAGUGUACAAAAAUGAAAGAAAAAAAGAGAUCUUCAGAUUGCUUCUAGGCCUCAGUGGAUUUCCUCAGAUAGAUAAGAAAGCAAGGGAUAUGAGCAGAUGAUUCAUCCUGUCUGACUGUAGUCUUCCCAGAACUGUGUCUGUGUAGAAAGUGGAAAUCUAUGCAUCCUGCCUGCCACACAGUGUCCUUAUAAAGAUCCAAACCCACACAGUGCAUGUGAAAACUCUUUAUAAAUACCAAACAACCAGGUCUUUAUUAUUUUCCUCUUAACCUGAGUUUAGGGAGUGGGAAACAAAGUGUUGAAGACACUCAGUAGAUAGCUUUCCUCAAAGAAAUUAGGAAAGAAUACCAGUAAAACCUUGGACUGUGAGCAAAUUGUCUGCAAGUGUUCCGCAAGACGAGCAAACAUUUCUAAUAAACUUUAACUUGAUAAACAAGACAUUCUGUAAAUGUCUUAUAAAACGAGUAGUACAUGAUGCCACAUGUCAUGUGAUCACAAGUGAACCAACGGUUCUUGAAAUUUGCUUUGAUAUACGAGUGCUUUGGAAACCAAGGUUUUACUGUAAGUAAGCCAAGAAGUACAUUGGGCUCUAUCUAACUUCGACGUUUACAUCCUGAUUUUCCACAGCCUUCUGAGCCACAUCCCCGUGGCCAGCUGAGCAGGGACGGUUAUGUAUAGUGGCUAGACUGAAGCUGGAUCUAGCCUGUCAAUGACAAAAUGAGGAAGUAAAAGUAAGUCUUCUCAGUCACCUUCAAAAAAAAAAAAUUACCAUCUCCAUUUAGACGGUCCAUUCCUCAUCUGUAACACAUAAAGGCUAGGUCAGAUGCUCUCUGAGAUUUCUUCCAAAGUCAGAGAAUCUUCCCAAAGUCAGAGAAUAAAAUAAUCCUUCAUAUGUGUUCCUGGACAUGAGUGAUUAUGUUGGUGAUCUCAUGGGGACAUUUCCUUCUGUAUCAUGAGGACUCAGCAUCAAAGGUUGUCCUACCCUGGAGCAAUCGGGAGCUAUGCUUAAUAGCCUGCAGGUGACCAUAUCAGGUAGCCACUGAGGGCCACAGAGGCUUGUUCUGAAAAGCUGGAUCUUCUGUAGGCCCAGUUGAUUGGCUGAGAAUCAAGCCAUUCAUUAGUCCCUUAUCAGUCUCACUAGUUUCCUUCAUAUGCACUGCAGAGGUGUGAUUUCCCCAGGUAGCCCCAGCCACUACAGUGACAGAGAAUCAUAUUUGCAAUGGCCUUUCAAGAUUAGAAGAGACCACAAUUUAUGGCCUCAGAAGCCACAGGAGGUUGACCUUCUGCAUUCAAGAGUCUCGCUUGAGAAGAGCCACUAAAUGUUUCUUCGUUCUCUUUCUUUAGUAAGCUUUCUCUUAUCUGUUGAUGCUGCUCUCUCCUAUUUAUCCAUUCAUUAGUUUAUGAAGUAAUUGAUUUAUUAGCAUUCUUUCUAAAGAGUUAUUUGCUGUUUAAACAGCGGUUAUCCAGGAAUUUCUGAUCGGGUGGAAAGCUGUGUCAUUUUUGGAAAAUGCCACCCCCACCCCAAAAGUGGCUUUCUCUUGCCAGGGUAUAAAGUCAUAAUUAGAAAUGAAAGCUCAGAAUCAAGCUGAAGAGGAAGAUGUAAGAAAACUUAGUUAUUUUUAAGAAGCAAGAGGUUAAGUAAUGUACCUAAUGUCCUCAAAAGUGACAGGGUUGGAAUUCAAACCCAGCCUUCCUGAUACCAAAGUGUAUAGUUUUCCAGGGUUCCCACACCAUUGCCAGGGACAAAAAUUAUCCAGAAAAGCAGACAGUCGCUAAAAGCUUCCUUCCUGCCUUCAGGGUUCCUGCGAGGAACCAUAUCCUCAUGCUUUUUUGUUCUGGCGAUGCUUCCCAUGACUUAAUCAGUGGAGCAGUAAGUGAGGGUUAGGUCCUCAGUUAGGUGCAUCUUUAUGCACCUGCAUUCUAUAGUCAUUCCAUUACGUGGCCCUGAUUUAACGAUUUUCUACGUUUUACAUUGGGGAUAAGUUGAUUUCCUGGAAAAUCGUGACAAAGAGGCUUCAUCAGAGUAUAGUGAGUUUGGUGCCCGUAGUGCUUGGGGGUUGCAGCAUCAUAUGCGUCUGUCCCAAGAGCUUUCCUACCUAUAUCUAAAGGCCUUACUUCUCAUGUGGACUUGGCAACGGCAAGCAGAAGUCUUCACAGAACACUCCUGUGUUCUCCAUCCCUUAAUGUCAAGUAGCAGGCCUCUGUGUAAUCAGAAAUGUAGGCUGUGCAGGGAGAUUUCUAUUUAUUUCUUUUUUUAAUGUUUAUUUACAGAGACAUAGAGAGGGAAUGAGUGGGGGACGGGCAGAGAGAGAGAGAGAGACAGAGAGAGACAGAGAGAGAGCGAGAGACAAAGAGAAUCCCAAACAGGCUCCACGCUGUCAGCACAGAUCACGACCUGGGGCUCAGUCUCAUGAGAUCAUGACCUGAGCUGAAAUAAAAAGUUAGAUGUUUAACCAACUGAGCCCCCCCCAGGCACCCCAGGAAACUUCUAUUUCUUAAGAAUUAAUUGGCCGGGUGUCCAUUUCUAGUCUAACAUUCACUGAAACAGGCUCUAUGUGACAGGACCUUCAGUUGCUCUCAAGGGUUUUUUGGGGUGGCCAGUGCCAUUUUAUUUUGCCAGAGGUUGAUUUAUAGAGAGAUUAUAAAUUCCAGGUAACGAACACAUGUGUGGAAUCUCAUCUCUUUAUAUCCUAGGAACUGACUGAUCUAUUUCAGCUGGGCUUGUGAGAAAUUUAACUUCAGUUAGGCCAAGUUUGGGAGGUUCCUGAGUUUCCAAAGAUUCUCACAAAAAAGAGUGAGCUGUCCUUGUUUAUCAUGUCCUUGGCUUGCUCCGGUUGUGGCUGAACCACACAAAUCAGAUCCAUGUGGGCUUCUGCGGGGUGACAGCUUUGUCACUGGCCAUGCAUGGAUCUGCUUCAUUCACCUCCGGGUUUUGCUUCCUAGGGACUUGCUGUGUCCAGUCCUGCCAGGAAGUAGGACUGUGACCGUUCCUUUUCGAGGGCAGCUUGACUGGGCCAUGGGGUACCUAGACAUUCAGUCAAACAUGGUUUUGGGUGUGUAAGUGAGGGUGUUUAUGGAGAGCUUAGCAUUGCCAUUGGUAGGCUGAGUGAAGCUCAGUGCCCUCCCUAAUGUGGAUAGGACACCCUACCCAAUGAGUUGAAGGACUGACUAGCAGAAGAAGCUAAUCCUUCUCUGGGAGUAAGGUGAACUCCUCCUGUGCGACUGCCUUCCAACUGAGACAUCAGCUUUCUUCCUGCCCUUGGGCCUAAACUGAAACAUCGUCUCUCCUGGGUCUUACUCGAUCAGCAUUUGAAAUAGAACCCCACCAACAGCUCACUUGGGGCCUCUGGCUCACCAGCUGCAAAUCUUGAGAAUUGUCAGCCUCCGUAAUUGUGUGAGGCAAUUCCUUAUGCUGAAUCCGUCUAUAUCACCUGUCUGUCCGUCCCUCCAUCAAAUUAUAUUUGGUCCCAUUUGUUUCUGGAAAGCCCUAUUACAAGAACAUAGCUCUUCUCUGUUUUUCUCUCCCCUGCUUCGCCUCUUGACCUCCCCAGCCUUCUGUCCCUACUUUUGUCAAACGUCUGGCUAAGAUAACUGAGUGUGUACAAGUAUCCCCGUGCAUUAGUUUCUGAAGGUUGCUGUAACAAAGUACCACAAACUGACUGGCUUCAAACAACAGAAAGUAUUCCUCAACAGGUGAGGAAGCUGGAGGUCUAAAAUUGGACAUCAGCAGGGCCACGUCCUCUGAAGCUUUGGGGGAGGAUCUGUCCUUGCCUCUUCCAGGUUCUGGUGGCAGCUGGCAAUCCUUCUUCCCUGGUUUGCAGCUGCAUUGCUUCAAUUUCUGCCUUUGUCUUCAUGUGGCUGUCUUAUCUCUUUACGUGUCUAAAUUUUGUCUCUAAUUUCUCUCAUUAGAAGGAUGCUAGUCUUUGGAUUGGGGCCCACAUAAAUCCAGUAUGACCUCAUCUUAAAUUAACUAAUCACAUCUGCAAAGACUCUUUUAGGUUAUUUCUAUUCCAUGUGAGAAUUAUUUCUUAUACAUGUACUCUCAUACACACACACACACACACACACACACACACACACACACUUUUCUUGAGGUAAUGUUCACAGAACCAGCUGUGACACAUGCUUGAACAUAGAAAAGGGAGAGGAUAAAUAAAUAGAAAUGAUAGAUGUUCAUGUGUUGAAAUAUUUUUCUGACUAAUCUAUAAGAAGGUCUUACUAUUAGAAAGCAUCACACAGUAAAACACGUAUUUUGACAGGCUCAGAAAUGACUCCUAGACCCUGUGGGAUGGAAAGGAGUCCUACAAGCCUCCCUUUGAUGCUCAAGGCAUAUGUCAAGAUUGCAGGACAAUGCAGGGAUAGUAUGGAAAAUUGCCUCAUCAGGUGCACAAACAAACAGCCUUGCCUUGGCCAUAUUUGCUUCUAAACCCUCGCACAGCCCACCCCCCCUCACCCAUUCAGUCUGCUGUUCUUUCUGUGUUGCAAUAUUUUCUGCAUCUGAGGUUUUUAAAGAAAGGGAUUUUUAAGUUUCCUUUUCAUUUCAGAACCUGUUUAUUGCACAUUAUAUUUGGCGAUUUUUUUUAAUUUUUAAUUUUUUUUUUUGAAUGACAGCGAGCAGGGGAGGGGCAGAGAGAGAGGGAGACACAGAAUUCGAAAUAGGCUCCAGGCUCUGAGCUGUCAGCACAGAGCCAGAUGCAGGGCUUGAACCCACAAACUGCAAGAUCAUGACCUGAGUCAAAGUGGGACUUUCAACCGAUUCUCCCUAUCUUUUGCUAUUUGGUUACUGUCCACCUUUCAUGUUAGAGGAUUUCCUCUGGGUUUUUGUGAUCUUUCAUUGUUUCUUUGCAUAUGAGUGAGAGACUAAAAACUCACUGGGAUUGCAGGCCCUUGAGUGGGGUAUGUGGACUAUGAGUUUCACCAAAGAUGACCUGACCGGGCCAUCUUAUUGAAAAAUCCUUAAUGUUACAUCAUUCUUUUGGAUCCUUUAUAGAUCCUUCAGUAUCCUGCCUGAAGAGUAAAAGACCGGCACAAGAAUUCUGGAACCCUCAUAGAGGAAGGUGCCUGGGGGUCUCAGUAUCUCAUAUAUAUGUAUGCUCAUAUGUGUAUGUUCACUUAAUUCUCUGUUUUCAUCAUGGAACAAGUAUUGUUGAGGGUUCCUACAUUGCUUAUAGGAAUGUGUUUGUCAAAAAUGUGAAAGAACCCAAGAUGUCCUUCACUAGGUGAAUGGAUAAACAAAUUGUUGUAUAUCCAUUCAAUGGACUACUAUUCAGCUAUAAAAUCAAAUAAGCUAUCAAGUCAUGAAAAACAGCAUGAUGAUGAACCUAAAAUGAAUAUUAAAAUUGGUUGAUCAGUGUGAAAAGGUUAUGCAUUUUAUGAUUCCAAUUAUAUGGCAUUAUAGAAGUGAAAAACUCUAAAGACAGUAAAAAGAUCAGUGGUUGCCUGGAGUUCGGGGGAGUAGGGGAGGAUUGAGUAGGUGAAGCACAGGAGGUUUUCAGGGUGGUAAAUCUCUUCUGCCUGAGACUAUAAUGGCGGAUACCUGACAUCAUGCGUUCGUCAAGACCCAUAGAGCUUGAUAUGGCACAAAGUAAACUUUAAUCUGUGCAACUUUCACCAUAUCAUUUAGGAGGUCAGGGAUCUCAGGAAGAAUGUAGCCUGUGACAUGAAAAUCAAACUGGAUUACAAAUGUAUGAGACAACCUCACUGAAGGGGGUGGGGGAGGUUGCUGACCUAAGUGGCUGUGUGCACACACACACAUACUGCACUCUAGUUAAUAAAUUUGUUUCCCAUGGGGUUACGGCUUAACAAUUCUGAUACUGCUAUGCAUGUAUAUUGGAAUUUAAAAAUUAAGUAAAUGUGUGGCAGAUGGCAGGGGCCAGGUUUCUCACUGUUAGAAUGGGAAUCCACCGUUAAGCAAGGGGAGGAGGCUAAAAUGAUCCAUGUGACCAUAGAUUAGAGUUGGAGGCAUUCAUAUGCACUCAUGUUUAACUCAAUCCAGAUACAGAUGGUUAUAUAUGAAAAUAUCUGUAGAUAUGUGUCUGUGGGGUAGUUAGUCACAUAUAUAAUCCUUGCCCUGUCAGAUGAGAGACCUACAAGUAAGACUACUCUAGUCACAAGUACACUCAGCAGCUAUAUCUUGGUAUCUAAUGCCAUUUUCCAGAAACAAGAAGCAGGGCUCCUUGGAGAAGUGGUUGAUUCUUGGGCUAGAGUAGGAAAUAUAUAAGGUAUGACUGGAAUCCCUUAUAGUGACAGAAAGUAAGAAAUUCCAAAAAACAAAACAAAGCAAAAACCUACAUUGAUGGGGUGUUGCCAAAGGGACACAGGACAGUUCAGUCCAACUGAAAGAACUCCUUUUUUUUUUUUAAGUCUAUUUACUUAUUUUGAGAGAAAGAGAGAGAGAGAACAGGGGAGGGGAAGAGAGAGAGGGAGAGAGAGAAAUCUCAACCAGGCUCCUCACCCAGCACAGAGCCUGACUCGGGGCUCAAACUCACAAACCAUGAGAUCAUGACCUGAGCUGAAAUCAACAGUCCAACACUUAAACGACUGAGCCACUCCAGCACCCCACAAGUGGAAGAACUCCUAAUGGCCAAAGCUAAAACAAUUGGAACAACAAGAUAAAAUACUACUGCACUAGAACUCAAAGUAUAAAAUAAAUAUCCUUUAGUCCACACUGAUAUAAAUAAAUGAUUGAAUAAAUAAAAGAUAAAUCUGUGCAGAGGAACUUCAAUGUAACUUAUGUAGAUAUUCCAUCCUUAAAAAGGAGGAACAUAACUCCACACUCCCUAUGAGUGGGCAGAACAUGGUGACUUCCUUCCAUGGAAUACAGUAUGGCAAGCUGGGAGAAAGAGGAACUUUACAGAGGAGAAAACAUUACACACCACCUCAGCCAGGUGAUUAGGGUCGACACCAGCUGUGAUAAAUCAUGUUGAUAGUACUUACCUGUGUUGUGGUGUGAUGAAAAUAUCCCUUUGUGUCUCUUUACAUCUGGUUAUCUUCUUCCCAAAAAGCUGUCACUCCAGUCUAGUCAUGAGACAAACAUCAGACAAAUUCUAGUAGAGGGGCAUUCUACAAAAUACUUGACCAGUAUUCAUCAAAACUGUCAGGUUCAUCAAAAAUAAGGAAUUUGAGAAACUGUCACAGCCAAAAAACAAAAAACAAAAAACCAAGAAAACAUAA